Suricata suricatta (meerkat) is the source of this 900-nucleotide long non-coding RNA. RefSeq lists it as uncharacterized. NCBI's taxonomy places the organism in Eukaryota, Metazoa, Chordata, Mammalia, Carnivora, Herpestidae. The transcript has 3 exons. The record is from RefSeq and is a predicted model, not a curated record.
UAGUCUUAACACACUGAUGUUUUAGGUAGGCCAUGGGCCACCAGAACCAGCUGCCCCCCUUGUUCCUUCCACGCCCAAGGCGGUAAAGUGCUACUCUGGAUUUUCCUCCAGGGCUCCCCGCGCCGGGUGAAUUUCUCCACAGCGGCACCAGAGGGCGCCCGAACUGAGGGAAACGCCUCCGGACUCCAAGAGGAGCCAAGCAGGCUGCCACCUUCUACUCCUGAAAUCCGUGGGCAACUUGUCUUCGUGCUGAGAGUAUAGGAAGGCCCACUGUCCUGGCAGGAAGGCACCUGGCGUCGGUGCCCAAUCCCAUGGUCCGCCACUAAGACCACCCGUGGGUGCAUGCAGACCAGGCGGACCGGGGCGCCCUGCACCCCAGCUGCUGAAGUUUGCAAGCCGAUCUGCAUUGUCUCCCACUCAGCCGCCCCUCUCAUCAGCAGCCCCACACGCUAAUAUCAAGGGCCCAAAGCAAACAGGUCUUUUCUGUAGGCACCUCUGGAAGGAAUGCGUGUCUGGGAGGCUUCUUAGCUGUCAAGAAGUUCUUACAUUUCUUCAAGAAACUCAACCUAGGUUUCAUCAAGCCAUGCCACAGAGCAAAGAGAAUUAAAUAUUUUUUUUAAGACUACGGUUAAUCCUGCAACCGAAAUAUGAAGAAAAGAAUCCUGCAUACGAAAAGUCUGUGAAAUUUUUACAGGAAGUGUGCAAAAAUGUUGUUUAAAUAUCCUCAGAUGAAGAAGAAUUGAGAUACACACCCUGCUCUUCCCCCCCAAAAAACCCACCAUGAUUUUUAGCCAUCUAUUCUCAGACUGGUGCUCCUAGAAGUCAAUGAAAUAAAAUAGCAUCUUUUGGGGGAAUAUUUCAAAUAUUCUUUGAAAGAUGUUGCUAAAUGUGUAUUUGAGU